GACGAACGCUGGCGGCGUGCUUAAUACAUGCAAGUCGAACGGAGUGGCGAACGGGUGAGUAACACGGUGGUGACCUGCCCUGCACCUCGGGAUAAGCCUGGGAAACUGGGUCUAAUACCGGAUAGUGUGGGAUGGGCCCGCGGCCAAUCAGCUUGAUGGUGGGGUAAUGGCCUACCAAGGUGGCGAGGGAUAGCCGGCCUGAGAGGGUGGACGGCCACAUGGGGACAUGGACACGGCCCAGAAUGGAACGAUAGGCAGCAGUGGGGAAUAUUGCACAAUAGGCGGGCGCGUGAUGGAGAGGCUCCGCGUGGGUAAAGCCGGGCUGUGAGUUGUAACCUCCUUUCUCCAUAAACGCGGUAGAUGGAGAAGAAGCACCGGCUAACUACGUGCCAGCAGCCGCGGUAAUAC
Molecule: ribosomal RNA, 408 nt
Filed under: uncultured bacterium
Lineage: Bacteria
Description: partial 16S ribosomal RNA
Rfam family: Bacterial small subunit ribosomal RNA
Source: RNAcentral